RNAcentral lists this ribosomal RNA (358 nucleotides) under uncultured bacterium. RNAcentral's name for it is "bacterial SSU rRNA". It matches the Rfam family "Bacterial small subunit ribosomal RNA", at positions 68 to 422 of the family's 1533-position model. The record is from RNAcentral.
UCCAUCUGGUGGCAACACCAGUGAAGAUUCAGUGGCGAACGGGUGCGGAACACGUGAGCAACCUGCCCCGAAGACCGGGAUAACGGCGGGAAACUGCCGCUAAUACCGGAUGUCCCCAUGAGAUCGCAUGGUCUUAUGAGGAAAGGAUUACCGCUUCGGGAGGGGCUCGCGGCCUAUCAGCUUGUUGGUGGGGUAAUGGCCCACCAAGGCUACGACGGGUAGCUGGUCUGAGAGGACGAUCAGCCACACUGGGACUGAGACACGGCCCAGACUCCUACGGGAGGCAGCAGUGGGGAAUCUUGCGCAAUGGGCGAAAGCCUGACGCAGCAACGCCGCGUGGGGGAUGAAUGCCUUCGGG